Molecule: transfer RNA, 71 nt
Filed under: Loxodonta africana (African savanna elephant)
Lineage: Eukaryota; Metazoa; Chordata; Mammalia; Proboscidea; Elephantidae
Rfam family: tRNA
About the family: Transfer RNA (tRNA) molecules are approximately 80 nucleotides in length. Their secondary structure includes four short double-helical elements and three loops (D, anti-codon, and T loops).
Source: Rfam by way of RNAcentral
GCAGUGGUCGUUCAGUGGUAGAGUUCUUGCCUUCCAUGCAGGAGACCUGGGUUCGAUUCCCAGCCAGUGCG